RNAcentral lists this long non-coding RNA (339 nucleotides) under Brassica napus (rape). RNAcentral describes it as "long non-coding RNA (BNAP_LNC018144)". Lineage: Eukaryota; Viridiplantae; Streptophyta; Magnoliopsida; Brassicales; Brassicaceae. The record is from RNAcentral.
CUGGAUGAGUUUGGUUCUGAUGUAUAAGAACUUAAGAAUAUAUAAAUAAGGCUCCUUGUCUUUCUACAAACCAUCGAUAAAACAUAUGGGAAGUUUCGGUUUUAUGGUUUUUAUCUUAUUGCAGUUUCAAUAAGCUCUUUGAGCAUUCUCUUUUGUUUAUUUUAUGGUUUUCAUUUUGUUUAUGAAUGGUUGUUGUCUUUUGAAUUGAUGGAUAAGUCUUGCUCUAAGAUCUUUAUAUGGAAUAAAAUUGUUUGUUUCGACUGGUGUUAUUGGUGUUGUAUGGAUCCCUUACGCUUUCGAACUUAUUACACGGGGUUAGUGUGUGGGCUGCGGGUUCGA